Molecule: ribosomal RNA, 414 nt
Filed under: uncultured bacterium
Lineage: Bacteria
Description: bacterial SSU rRNA
Rfam family: Bacterial small subunit ribosomal RNA
Source: RNAcentral
GACGAACGCUGGCGGCGUGCCUAACACAUGCAGGUCGAACGGAACUUCUUUAAAGGAUUUCUUCAGAAUGAAUUUGAUUAAGUUUAGUGGCGGACGGGUGAGUAACGCGUGAGUAACCUGCCUCUAAGAGGGGAAUAACAUUCUGAAAAGAAUGCUAAUACCGCAUAAUAUAUAUUUAUCGCAUGGUAGAUAUAUCAAAGAUUUAUCGCUUAGAGAUGGACUCGCGUCCGAUUAGUUAGUUGGUGAGGUAACGGCUCACCAAGACCGCGAUCGGUAGCCGGACUGAGAGGUUGAACGGCCACAUUGGGACUGAGACACGGCCCAGACUCCUACGGGAGCAGCAGUGGGGAUAUUGCGCAAUGGGGGAAACCCUGACGCAGCAACGCCGACGUGAAGGAUGAAGGUCUUCGGAUU